GCCUGGCUGGCUCAGUGAGUAGAGCAUGGGACUCUUGAUCUUGAGGUGGUGAGUUCAAGCCCCACACUGGGUU
RNAcentral lists this transfer RNA (73 nucleotides) under Canis lupus familiaris (dog). It matches the Rfam family "tRNA". From Rfam's summary of the family: Transfer RNA (tRNA) molecules are approximately 80 nucleotides in length. Lineage: Eukaryota; Metazoa; Chordata; Mammalia; Carnivora; Canidae. The record is from Rfam by way of RNAcentral. RNAcentral also lists the same sequence under 1 other name.